UUCUGCUGCAGAGACAUUUGGCUGCGUGUGUGUGUGCAUGUGUGGCAGCAAUUUGCCUUUGCAUUCUGAUGCCCCUUUGCCUCCUUUUCCCCCAUUCAAAAAUGCCAGCUCCCUGCAUCCCCUGUGUGCUGUGACAACACUGCUCUGUGUCAGCCAGUACCGUACCUAUGGAACUGUGACACAGUGACACGAGCUCUCUUGCUCUCUCUCCCCAGCCCUGGUGAGAGACUUUAAGAUGCCAGUGAUGCCACAAUGCGGAACAUGUUGGUUCUACAACAGCUUUGAAGAAGAAGAGGAUACCUUCCAGUAGUUACAGAUGCGCACCUGCUGUCUGGACCUCUGAAUGCUCGGCUAUGAAAUGCUAACUGACAUGUACUCCUGAGGUGCUGACCUGUUGCACCCUCUAAAACAGGGGUACGCAAACUUUUUGGCUCGAGGGCCACAUCGGGAUUUUGAUAUUCAACGCAGGGCCUCCCGAGUGGCGCAGUGGUCUAAGGCACUGCAUCUAGUGCUUGAGGUGUCAUUACAGACCCGCCGGGUUCGAUCCCAGGCUGUGUCACAGCUGACCGUGACUGGAAGACCAAUGAGGUGGCGCACAAUUGGCCCAGCAUCGUCCGUGUUAGGAGAUUUCCUUAGGAUAUUUUCUUUAGACAAGAUUUCCUUGUCCCAUUGUGCUCUAGCGACUCCUGUGCCAGGCUGGGCGCAUGCACGCUGACACGGUUGCCAGGUGUAUGGUGUUUCCUCCGACACAUUGGUGCGGCUGGCUUUCGGGUUAAGUGGGCAUUGUGUCAAGAAGCAGUGCGGCUUGGCUGGGUCAUGUUUCGGAGGACGCCUCUCGCCUCUCCCGAGGCCGUACGGGAGUUGCAGCGAUAGGACAAGCCUGUAACUACCAAUUGGAUACCAUUAAAUUGGGGAGUAAAACGGGUUAUGUCUCGCUGGCCGGAUUGAAGUUCCCAGUGGGCCGUACUCCCCCCCCCCCCCUUGCUCUACAACCACUAUGCUUAAUAUUUGAACCUGCUGGUCAUCUAUGAACAUUUGAAUAUCUUGACGAGCGAUCUGGCCUUAAUGGCCAUGUCUUGGCCAUGGCUGGAUAUAAACAGUGUAGUUAUUUCCUUUGAGGAUAAUACAGUGCCACUGUCGCAGGUCGCUAACAAAGACUGCGCCCCCCUCUAGAUCUCAGUGGCUGACGUGACUAAAACAUUUAAACUUGCUAACCCUCGCAAGGCUGCUGGCCCAGACGGCAUCCAUAGCCGCGUCCUCAGAGCAUGCGCAGACCAGCAGGCUGGUGUGUUUACAGACAAAUUGAAUCUCUCCCUAUCCCAGUCUGUUGUCCCCACAUGCUUCAAGAUGGCUACCAUUGUUCCUGUACCCAAGAAGGCAAAGAUAACUGAACUAAAUGCUGCCCCGUAGCACUCACUUCUGUCAUCAUGAAGUGCUUUGAGAGGCUAGUCAAGGAUCAUAUCACCGCCACCUUACCGGCCACCCUAGACCCACUUCAGUUUGCAUACCACCCCAACAGGUCCACAGAUGACGCAAUCACCAUCACACUGCACACUGCCCUAUCCCAUCUGGACAAAAAUAAUAUCUAUGUAAGAAUGCUGUUCAUUGACUACAGCUCAGCAUUCAACACCAUAGUACUCUCCAAGCUCAUCAUCAAGCUGGAGGCCCUGGGUCUCAACCCCUCCUUGUGCAACUGGGUCUUGGACUUUCUGACGGGCCGCCCACAGGGGUUGAUGGUAGGAAACAACAUUUCCACUUUGCUAACCCUCAACAUUGGGGCACCACAAGGGUGUGUGCUCAGCUCUCUCCUGUACUCCCUGUUCACGCACGACUGCAUGGCCAUGCACACUUCCAACUCAACCAUCAAGUUUGCAGACGACACAACAGUAAUGGGCUUGAUCACCAAUGACGAGACAGCCUACAGGGAGGAGGUGAGGGCACAGGGAGGAGGUGAGGGCACUCGGAGUGUGGUGUUAGGAAAACAACCUCUCACUCAACAUCAACAGAACAAAGGAAAUGAUCGUGGCUUUCAGGAAACAGCAGAGGGAGCACCCCCACUAUCCACAUCAAAGGGACAGCAGUGGAGAAGGUGGAAAGUUUUAAGUUCCUGGGCGUACACAUCAUAGACAAACUGAAAUGGUCCACCCACACAGACAGUGUGGUGAAGAAGGCGCUACAGCGCCUCUUCAACCUCAGGAGGCUGAAGAAAUUUGGCCUGUCACCCAAAACCCUGACAAACUUUUACAGAUGCAUAAUCGAGAGCAUCCUGUGCAACUGCACCGCCCUCAACCGCAAGGCUCUCCAGAGGGUAGUGCGGUCUGCACAACGCAUCACCGGGGGCAAACUACCUGCCCUCCAUGACACCUACAGCACCCGAUGUCACAGGAAGGCCAUAAAGAUCAUCAAGGACAACAACCACCGAAGCCACUGCCUGUUCACACCAUUCUCAUCCAGAAGAGGAUCUGAGCCCUAGGACCAUGCCUCAGGACUACCUGGCCUGAUGACUCCUAGCUGUCCCCAGUCCACCUGGUUGUGCUGCUGCUCCAGUUUAAAUUGUUAUGGCUACUAUGGAACCCUGACCUGUUCACCAGACGUGCUACUUUUUCCCGGACCUGCUGUUUUCGACUCUCUCUCUCUCAAUCGCACCUGCUGUCUUGACCUCUAUGAAAAGCCAACUGACAUUUACUCUUAUACUCUCCACCCGGCACAGCCAGAAGAGGACUGGCAACCCUAAGAGCCUGGUUCCUCUCUAGGUUUUUUCCUAGGUUACUGCCUUUCCUAGGGAGUUUUUCCUAGCCACUGUGCUUCUACAUCUGCAUUGCUUGCUGUUCGGGGUUUUAGGCUGGGUUUCUGAAAAGCAUUUUGGGACAUAUGCUGAUGUAAAAAGAGCUUUAUAAAUACAUUUGAAUGAUUGAUUGAAAAGGAAGCCUGAACAGAAAAAAUAUAUUCCAAAACAUGCAUCCUGUUUGCAAGAAGGCACUAAAGUAAAACUGCAAAAUAAUGUAGCAAAGAAAUUAACUUAAUGUACUGAAUACAAAGCGUUAUGUUUGGGCACAUACAACACAUCACUGAGUACCACUCUUCAUAUUUUCAAGCAUGGUGUUGGCUGCAUCAUGUUAUGGGUAUGCUUGUCGGGCCAGGACAAGCAUAAAAAUCUACUAAAUAGAGCUUAAUCACAGGCAAAAUCCGAGAGGAAAACCUGGUUGAGUCUGCUUUCAACAGACACUGGGAGACAAAUUCACCUUUCAGCAAGACAAUAACCUAAAACACAAGGCCAAAUAUACACUGGAGUUGCUUACCAAGACAACAUUGAAUAUUCCUGAGUGGCCUAGUAACAGUUUUGACUUAAAUGGACUUGAAAAUGGUUGUCUAGCAAUGAUCAACGAACAAUUUGACAGAGCUUUAAUCAUUUUUGUUAUAAUAAUGGGGAAAUAUUGUACAAUGCAGGUGUGCAAAGCUCUUGGAGACAUACCCAGAAAGACUCACAGCUGUAAUCGCUGCCAAAGGUGAUUCUAACAUGUAUUGACUCAGGGGUGUGAAUACUUAUGUAAAUUAGAUAUUUCAGUAUUUCCGUUUCAAUACAUUUGCAAAUAUUUCUAAAAACAUGUUUUCACUUUGUCAUUACGGGGUAUUGUGUGUAUAUGGGUGAGAACUAAAUAUAUUUAAUACAUUUUGAUGUGGAAUAAGUCAAGGGGUAUGAAUACUUUCUGAAGGCACUGUAGUCCUAUCUCUCUGACCAUUCUUAGCCUGUAAUUUCGGUAAUUUGUGUGGUAUUAAAAAAUAUUGUGCCAAUAUGUAAAACGAUGUAGAAUUGCAUGAAAUACCUGCAAAUAUGAUGAUAGAUUCAUGCGAUGCUUUUACUAUAAGGUAGAUAUUUCCUACUCUUGUCCACGGUGGUCUGUGAACCAAAUAAAAGGAUGUCGAUAGAAA
Molecule: long non-coding RNA, 3930 nt
Organism: Salvelinus fontinalis (brook trout)
Lineage: Eukaryota; Metazoa; Chordata; Actinopteri; Salmoniformes; Salmonidae
Exons: 3
Source: RefSeq, a predicted model, not a curated record